Ahaetulla prasina is the source of this 429-nucleotide long non-coding RNA. RefSeq lists it as uncharacterized. The transcript is spliced from 3 exons. The record is from RefSeq and is a predicted model, not a curated record. NCBI's taxonomy places the organism in Eukaryota, Metazoa, Chordata, Lepidosauria, Squamata, Colubridae.
UCUGAGUGCGCAGGCGCAAUAGUGGUCCGGCAACGGAGAGCCGCCUCCUCUGGCCUGCUAAGGAGAAGCUAACGUGGUGGCUGCAGAAGUUCCUCUUCCUCUCUUCCCUCGCCAGCGAUAUCUCGAGGUGGAGAGAGCCGACGUGAGAUAGGAGAGCUGUAAGCCUUGGUGGUAUAGAAGAUGCUGAAUUUAUUAAACAAGAAGAAAACAGGAAAAAAUGACUAUUUUGGAGCAACUCGUUAUAGGUAGGCAGUGCUCAAAUUCUACAGGAAGAACCAGGUUUUCCUCCAUUGAUCAAAAUCCAUUGAUCAAAUACAUAUCGGGUGGAAAGAUAACACAGUCAACCAUUGUCUCACAAGGAUUGUAAUAAGUGUUCUAAGCAACCUUUUUCAUGAUGAAUUAUGAAAAAAUGAGGUCAAUUUUUUUCUA